CGAACGCUGGCGGCGUGCUUAAUACAUGCAAGUCGUACGAGAAAGCCCGACUUCGGUCGGGCCGGUAAAGUGGCGAACGGGUGAGUAACACGUGGAUAACCUACCCUUAAAUCUGGGAUAAUUCUCCGAAAGGGGUUCUAAUACCGGAUAAGACCACAGGACGGCAUCGUCCGGGGGUCAAAGGCGGGGUAACCUGUCGUUUAGGGAUGGAUCCGCGCUCCAUUAGCUUGUUGGUGAGGUAACGGCCCACCAAGGCUGCGAUGGAUAGCCGGCCUGAGAGGGUGAUCGGCCACACUGGGACUGAGAUACGGCCCAGACUCCUACGGGAGGCAGCAGUAGGGAAUAUUGCGCAAUGGACGCAAGUCUGACGCAGCAACGCCGCGUGGGUGAUGAAGCAUCUUGGUGUGUAAAACCCUGUCAGUGGGGAAGAAACGUAUGGAGAGUAACUGCUCUAUGCCUGACGGUACCCACAGAGGAAGUCCCGGCUAACUCC
This 493-nucleotide ribosomal RNA is filed under the name uncultured bacterium. RNAcentral's name for it is "bacterial SSU rRNA". It matches the Rfam family "Bacterial small subunit ribosomal RNA", at positions 30 to 504 of the family's 1533-position model. The record is from RNAcentral.